Small nuclear RNA from Nannospalax galili (Upper Galilee mountains blind mole rat), 102 nucleotides. Lineage: Eukaryota; Metazoa; Chordata; Mammalia; Rodentia; Spalacidae. The record is from Ensembl.
GUGCUCACUUCAGCAGCACAUAUACUAAAUUUGGAACAACACAGAGAUUAGCAUGACCCUUGUGCAAAGAUGACACAAAUUCAUGAAACAUCCCAUAUUUUU